UCAAAUCGGACGGAUUAGGAGGCGGCUUAAUUUUGGACAAAAUCAUCCGGAUGAUUUGUAGCACCCCCUCAAAGGAAAACGAUAGUCAAAUCCAACCAAUUCUGGACAAAUUGAUGUGUGUAAAUCUGCUACCCAAUCAGAGCACCACCGAGAAAAUUGAAGUCUUCCAGAAUCUGCUACCCGGCUAGAGCACCACCAACAAAAUCAAAGACUACAGAACAACUCUACUAUCCGACUAGAGCACCACCAACAAAAUCAAAGAUUGUCGGCUCUGUGAUGCUAGAAAAAUAUAAAAAACGCCAAAACUCCGAUGUGACUGCAUCUCAAUGCCAGAUGAAGUCAGCAAAGGUCUUCUGAGCUGCCUCUCACCUGAAUCAGGUUCGUAAAUAUUAUGAAUUAAUUAAUUCAUUUAUCAGAAUAAAAGCUGCAUAGAUAGAUGACUAGCAAUUUCAGAAUCCUUUCACAGCCAAAAAAACUAUGGUGUUGAAGAAGCUUAUUGCUUACGAACAACAGGACAAACUAUAACAUUCAAGUGAAUGUAUAGAGAAUGUGGGAUUACCUCAAUCAUACAACAGAUCAACAAUUUAAAACAAGCAAAUGCUAAUUAUAUUUUGUUUUCAUUGACAUGGCAAAACAGUUCAUGUUACUAUGAACAUUAAAAGUAUCAUGCUAUCAUCUGGAGGAAUUUGAUACACUUAUAUUGGUGAAAGAAAAUGAUAAUUAUAUUUAUGCAUAUAACACUUUUUUAUGUGUAUGCAUAUAAUACUUUUAAAAAGGUCAAAGUAAUUCAUGUGCACACCUAAGUAAUUCAAUCCACUAGGAAAUAAUCAUUCAUGUACAGACAUAUUUCAGUAUGGGCACAUACAAAGCUAAGUCCUCUAUACAAAUUAGAAAAACAUGGGCAUGUCCUUUUGAGAAAAAGAGAUACGCCUAAGUAAUUCAAUCUACUAGGAGUACAAAAUCAGAUCAUCUAGACAAUUUAAAAAUAAUGGGCAGGUCCUUCGGAGAAAAACAAAAGGCCCGCCAAAAUCAUUCAUUUUACUGGGAAAUAUACUAAAAAGUCUAGCCGCCAAACACAUCCCAUGUGUACAUCAGUACAUGCAUGCACUUGCAUCUAAUUCUAAUGGACAGACAUGUGGACUUAACGGCCAGAAAAAUAGACAUUGAUAUGAGGCACAGUACAAAAAAACAAGCGCCAACCUAUCUAAACGCCGGAUAUAUUUGAGCCUCUACAAACUAUAAAUCCAAAAUAAAUCAUUUAUGGUAAAAUCUAUAUAUCGAUUGAUCAAGAUUUCGAGUCAUGCAAGAUAAAUAUAAAUAGCUUCUAUUAUUUAUCCAAAUGAAUCGUGACUCAUGUUUAUUCACCAAUAUUACAUAACAAUUUUACUUGACUAACUCCAUAUAUGCAGGAGAAGAAAGUUUACCAAAAUUGAUCGAGAUGGAUAGCAAUAAACAAGGAGCGUAGAAAUAUUUUACAGAAGGAUAACAUUACAACUUACUGGAAUGAGGCACAAAAACCAGACACAUCAGGUGAUGGAUCAAACUUCUUCUAAGAUAUGAUAUCACCACUUCUUGAGGAAAACGACACUCUCAGACCUGCAGUGCUUUUCAGAUAAUUGAGUCAUAUCAGUUAUAAUGGAAUCAUAUCUGAAUUAUUUGUCUGUCAACUUCUUCGGGAUGCUAACUUUAAUUUUUUGGGUGAUUAUUUUAGGAUUUUGUUUUUCACAACAAUAGGUAUAAUAAUCUAUUACACGAAAAUAUUCAAAUGAUCAAAUUCCGGUUGACACAAACUAACUACGUACAAAGGGAAAUGGAAGGUGUUACUGCAAAAAUUGUGGUACAUAUCUACACCUGGUAAGCAUAUUCUGCUAAUUUGAUUGAGAACUUCCAUAUUAUAUUUACUCUGCACUAAUAACAGUGGUAUGUAAAAAUUGCUAAGCUUAUUGGAUGGCAAGAUCUGAUUAGCACCAAGCAAACCAUUUAUGUUUACUGAGAUAGAGAAAUAAUGCUUGACAUCGAUCAGUAUAAGGGGGACAGUUAUUAGAUAAGGGUCAAAAGUUAGCACUAUGAGAAGCAUGUCAAAUUGUAAUUAUUCGAAAUACAUUCAUACAUGCACUUUUGUGAGUUUAAUGUUCUUGGAAAUAACCCUUCUAUUCUACAGCCUUUUCGAUUGAAGAGAACAAUGAGAAAAGCUUUAGUAUUAGAGGCAUCUCCUACAACACAUGUGAAUUUGUCGAAAAACAACACAUGUGAAAAAUCUAAAAUCUAUUGCAUAUCAAUUAACAUAUAUGGGCCAAAUUCAGUUAAUACAUGCAAGCAUUCUUCCUUUGUCUUAAAUAGAGCUACUGUUAAUAUAAAUUGCUAAUAUAUGGUGGGGAAGACUACAAUAGAAACUGGCCAUAGGAUAGAAGAAUAGAAAAAUGAAGUUAGAGCCGUUGGAUCCUUAAUGGAUGCUUCAGAUUUGAAAUGUCCUUAAUGGAUCCUUAAUGGCAAGUCACAUAACUAUAAAUUAUAUCCUAGCUCUCAGCCAGUGCCACAAAUAGGAGAGCAACGCCACUCAGGGAAACGAAACCGCUUUGCCUCGCAGCCUUGCUGCUUUGGGGCGCAAAAUCCUUCUCUCCAACAGAAAAUUUCUACACUGGAAAAGACAGAGAAAGGUCAGGAGACCAUAAGCAUAAAAUCUUCAUAAAGAAUCCAUGCCAUUGCUGGAGGUUAGUAGACCAAGAUCUGGGAAGGAAGGAGAAGGAGAGGAAGAGGAGUGAUUACCUGGAGGAGUGCCACCGCUCAGGUUCAAGUGGACCCAAAUCCAUGUCCAUCAAAUCGACGACGGCAGCGAGCAGCAGGCACGUGUGGUCGAGCUAGACGACGUGCCGCCGCCGGGAGCUUGCAGGCUGCAGCCACCGCACUCUGCCCCAAAUCCCACUUCCCCCCGUCCUCUUUUCUUGGCAGGAUCUAGCAACGAAUUGUGGACGAAUCCUUAGAUUAGGUAAGGAACAGAGAGAAAGGAAUGGGAG
This 3014-nucleotide long non-coding RNA is filed under the name Triticum aestivum (bread wheat). RNAcentral's name for it is "long non-coding RNA (TAES_LNC010081)". Lineage: Eukaryota; Viridiplantae; Streptophyta; Magnoliopsida; Poales; Poaceae. The record is from RNAcentral.